Molecule: ribosomal RNA, 500 nt
Filed under: uncultured bacterium
Lineage: Bacteria
Description: partial 16S ribosomal RNA
Rfam family: Bacterial small subunit ribosomal RNA
Source: RNAcentral
GACGAACGCUGGCGGCGUGCUUAACACAUGCAAGUCGAACGGGUCUGCCCUGUUUUUUGCGGGGUGGGUCAGUGGCGAACGGGUGAGUAACACGUGAGUAACCUGCCCCUCACUUCUGGAUAACCGCUUGAAAGGGUGGCUAAUACGGGGUGUUCUGGCUGUGCCGCAUGGUGUGGCUGGGAAAGAUUCACUUUUGUGGUGUUUUGGUGGGGGAUGGGCUCGCGGCCUAUCAGCUUGUUGGUGGGGUGAUGGCCUGCCAAGGCUUUGACGGGUAGCCGGCCUGAGAGGGUGGGCGGUCACACUGGGACUGAGAUACGGCCCAGACUCCUGCGGGAGGCAGCAGUGGGGGGUAUUGCACAAUGGGCGGAAGCCUGAUGCAGCGACGUCGCGUGAGGGAUGGAGGCCUUCGGGUCGUGAACCUCUUUCGCCGGUGAAGAAGGUCCUGCUCUUUGUGGUGGGGUUGACGGUAGCCGGGUUAUGAAGCGCCGGCUAACUACGUG